This 393-nucleotide ribosomal RNA is filed under the name uncultured Euglypha. Its description in RNAcentral is "SSU rRNA". It matches the Rfam family "Eukaryotic small subunit ribosomal RNA", at positions 585 to 972 of the family's 1831-position model. The record is from RNAcentral. Lineage: Eukaryota; Cercozoa; Imbricatea; Euglyphida; Euglyphidae.
CCAGCUCCAGUAGCGUAUAUUAAAGUUGUUGCAGUUAAAAAGCUCGUAGUUGGAUUUCUGACGAACCGGAGUGGCCCGUUCUCAUUCUGGGAAUGAGUGCCGCUUUGAGUUGGUCAUCCUUCCAGAGAGCUACGUCUACCGUUUACUCGGCCGGAUGUAUGCAAUCUGGAUCUAUUACUUUGAAAAAAUUAGAGUGUUUAAAGCAGGCUUAUGCUGUGAAUACAUUAGCAUGGAAUAAUAAUUUAGGACUUCGGUUCUAUUUUGUUGGUUUCUAGGACUGAAGUAAUGAUUGAUAGGGAUAGUUGGGGGUGCUAGUAUUCCGCGGCCAGAGGUGAAAUUCUUGGAUUCGUGGAAGACUAACUACUGCGAAAGCAUUCACCAAGGAUGUCUUCU